CCCACUGAAUUUUCACCAUAUAUGCAAUCCAUCUAUCUAAGGUAUGAUUUGCAGGAGUAUUUAAGGGCUAUCAUCAGUCAUAUGCAUACAUCUCCCCUCCACAAGAAUGGGAUGCGUGUGAUUACUGUCAUUCAAACCGUCUGACCAACUGUCGCAACUACUCUUCGCACGGUGCCGGAUUCCAAGCUUGUUUUGACAGUUUCAUGUUUCUG
This 212-nucleotide long non-coding RNA is filed under the name Setaria italica (foxtail millet). RNAcentral's name for it is "long non-coding RNA (SITA_LNC000177)". Lineage: Eukaryota; Viridiplantae; Streptophyta; Magnoliopsida; Poales; Poaceae. The record is from RNAcentral.